AGGGUUCGAUUAUGGCUCAGGACGAACGCUGGCGGCGUGCCUAACACAUGCAAGUCGAGCGGGGAUUGCGGGAGGAAGUUUUCGGAUGGAAUCCUGCAAUUCUAGCGGCGGACGGGUGAGUAACGCGUGAGCAACCUGCCUCUCACAGGGGGAUAACGCAGCGAAAGUUGCACUAAUACCGCAUGAGACCACACUUCUGACAUGGGAGAGGGGUCAAAGGAGGAAUCCGGUGAGAGAUGGGCUCGCGUCUGAUUAGCUGGUUGGUGAGGUAACGGCCCACCAAGGCGACGAUCAGUAGCCGACCUGAGAGGGUGAUCGGCCACAUUGGAACUGAGAGACGGUCCAA
RNAcentral lists this ribosomal RNA (346 nucleotides) under uncultured bacterium. RNAcentral describes it as "bacterial SSU rRNA". It matches the Rfam family "Bacterial small subunit ribosomal RNA", at positions 8 to 334 of the family's 1533-position model. The record is from RNAcentral.